This 253-nucleotide ribosomal RNA is filed under the name uncultured bacterium. RNAcentral's name for it is "partial 16S ribosomal RNA". It matches the Rfam family "Bacterial small subunit ribosomal RNA", at positions 524 to 776 of the family's 1533-position model. The record is from RNAcentral.
UACGUAGGGUGCAAGCGUUAAUCGGAAUUACUGGGCGUAAAGUGUGCGCAGGCGGUUUCGUAAGUCUGUCGUGAAAUCCCCGGGCUUAACCUGGGAAUGGCGAUGGAGACUGCGAGGCUAGAGUUUGGCAGAGGGGGGUAGAGUUCCACGUGUAGCAGUGAAAUGCGUAGAGAUGUGGAGGAACACCGAUGGCGAAGGCAGCCCCCUGGGUCAAAACUGACGCUCAUGCACGAAAGCGUGGGGAGCAAACAGG